This is a long non-coding RNA of Myripristis murdjan (pinecone soldierfish), 118 nucleotides long. RefSeq lists it as uncharacterized. The transcript is spliced from 3 exons. The record is from RefSeq and is a predicted model, not a curated record. Lineage: Eukaryota; Metazoa; Chordata; Actinopteri; Holocentriformes; Holocentridae.
GAAUGAUAAAACAGCUUUAGGAAUUACAAAGUGUGUUUGACGUAAAAUGCAUCACUAAAGGUCAACUGUGCACCAGUGUGGGAAUGUCACCACAGACAGCAAAUUUGCAAUAACGCAA